GGCCGCGUGGCCUAAUGGCUAAGGCGCUAGAUUUCGGUCCUCCCUUGACGAUAUUCUCUAGAGAUUCCAGGUUCGACUCCUGGCGUGGUCG
This is a transfer RNA of Cordyceps militaris CM01, 91 nucleotides long. It matches the Rfam family "tRNA". Rfam says of the family: Transfer RNA (tRNA) molecules are approximately 80 nucleotides in length. Their secondary structure includes four short double-helical elements and three loops (D, anti-codon, and T loops). The record is from Rfam. NCBI's taxonomy places the organism in Eukaryota, Fungi, Ascomycota, Sordariomycetes, Hypocreales, Cordycipitaceae.